Molecule: long non-coding RNA, 298 nt
Filed under: Malus domestica (apple)
Lineage: Eukaryota; Viridiplantae; Streptophyta; Magnoliopsida; Rosales; Rosaceae
Description: long non-coding RNA (MDOM_LNC003066)
Source: RNAcentral
CUAACCUCUAAAAAAUUAGUUACACAUAGUUCUCAAAAUAAACCAAAAGAAAGACAUGAGUUUGAGAAGAUAAAACCGAGAGAAGAGAAUGCCAAGAUUUCCUCCUUCCUUUCCUUCCUUUCUCAACGCAGCAGCCUUGCUUUUUUUUCCUUCCUUUCCUUCCUUUUUUUUCUAUCUUUUUUUCUCUAAAGAACUCCCCUUUGCUGCUGCAACCUGCAGCCUUUAUGCCCAUGCUUGCUGCCCCAUUUCUGCUCCAUAACUCACCCCACUAACUGCCAUUUAGUGAUGACAAUAAGUG